GAUGAACGCUGGCGGCGUGCCUAAUACAUGCAAGUCGAGCGAACAGACGAGGAGCUUGCUCCUCUGACGUUAGCGGCGGACGGGUGAGUAACACGUGGAUAACCUACCUAUAAGACUGGGAUAACUUCGGGAAACCGGAUCUAAUACCGGAUAAUAUAUUGAACCGCAUGGUUCAAUAGUGAAAGACGGUUUUGCUGUCACUUAUAGAUGGAUCCGCGCCGCAUUAGCUAGUUGGUAAGGUAACGGCUUACCAAGGCAACGAUGCGUAGACGACCUGAGAGGCGGCGCGGCCACACUGGAACUGAGACACGGUCCAGACUCCUACGGGAGGCAGCAGGAGGGAAUCUUCCGGAAUGGGCGAAAGCGUGACGGAGCAACGCCGCGUGAGUGAUGAAGGUCUUCGGAUCGUAAAACUCUGUUAUGAGGGAAGAACAAAUGUGUAAGUAACUAUGCACGUCUUGACGGUACCUAAUCGGAAAGCCACGGCUAACUACGGG
RNAcentral lists this ribosomal RNA (497 nucleotides) under uncultured bacterium. Its description in RNAcentral is "partial 16S ribosomal RNA". It matches the Rfam family "Bacterial small subunit ribosomal RNA", at positions 28 to 507 of the family's 1533-position model. The record is from RNAcentral.